UUUUUUUUUUUUUUUUUUUUUUUUUAAUGGGCAGGCUUUCUUCUUCAGCUUUAUCCCACUCCACCUUCUUGCCCCCCAAAAGCACGCAGCUUCGAUCUGUCUGCUUUGUUCUGCCUGUGAGUUUUACCUUGGGAAUGCCAUCCUGGUGUUGGGUGUGAGGGAAGUGGGGCUGCAGGCGUGCCAUUCCUAGAGCUGGCUUGGAGUUGACACUCAGUUUUCGAGCAGAACAGACGUGUAACCUAUUUCUACACCUUACCUGCCUAGUUAUGUGUGGAUUGACUACUGACAGUGUACUGGGAGUUUUCACGGCCUCCAUAGGAUGGAUGGCGCUUUGUCAAUAGGUUGCAGGGUAGGCUCUUUAUCAUAAGUAUCUCAGCUCAGGUUAACAUGCGUAUUAUCAGGAUCUACAGAUUUCUCUUCCUAUAGAAAUGUAUCGGACUUCAGAUGUAUUGAGAUGUGUCCUUUUGUGCUUGGUUGACGCUAUGACCCUGCAGCCUGCUGGUAAGCAAGAGCGGACAUUGAGCAGAAUUUGAGUGCCUGAAGGAAAGUUCUUUAUUUAAACCCCCACUGGGCUGCAUCUGUUUCUGAGUCUGUUCUCUAACCUUGGGAAUCAACAGAAAAGCAUCUUUAUUUUGAAUGUUUCAGUCUUCCUCGGCCGUGGAUCAGCACUCCCACAUUCUCUUUAACUCCAAGAGUCAUUUAACAGCAAUAUUUAUGGAGAAAUUGAUUGCAUUUAAUGAAAUGGAAUGAGCAGCAGUCUUCCUGGUUCUAAGUACGUGCUUUUGGCCAACAGUAAGUCAUCAGAAUGAGGUCUCGUUUUGGUUAGGGGUGUGUGUUCUUCACGGACGCCUGUCUUCAUGGACAAAAUGAUUAACAUAACCCUAAGCAUUCAAGACACUGGAGGUUUGAAGGUCAGGAAAAUUGAGACCAAAGUGGGUUUUAUGAAUUGUUUCUGUGGUAGUUGGUGGGUAUCACCCAAAUAACAGAGAACCAGUCUAUCCAAGUGGCAUUUCAUGAAUUUAAUUUAGUUGCGAACAGAGAGGCCAGUUCGUAAUGCCAAUACUGCUUGGACCCCGUCCUGCCCCCACCCCUCCAUUUAUUGAGCCUCCCCUGUUCAAGGUAUGCCCACCUCACAGCCUUUCUAUUGUCGUUCCCCUGUGUCCAGGCCUCUUUUCCUGGUCCUGCCCUUUGACCUCAUCCUUUGGGUCUCAGACUGCCCCCUUCCUCAGGGAAACCUUUGAUGAAUCAGAGUGGAUCAUGUUCUUCCUGCAAUUUUACAUGAUUUUUUUUUUUCUUCGUGGCACGUGCCGCACUUUUACUCAAUAGUCAUUUGUCUUAUUUAUUUAAUGUCUGUUUCUCCUGCUACCCUGCGAGCGAAGGCACGUCUCUGUUCUUUAAUAGAUUCUCAGGGCCUUUGUGCAGAGCCUGGCACAAAGUAGGUACUCGUAUUUGUUGAACCAUGAAAAGAAAGAGUUGGAAGCCCGUGGUGGAGAUGUUGGCCUCUCAGGUUGUAGGUGGCAGAGUCUGAGAUGGCCCUCAGUGACCCCNCCCCCCCCCCCCCCCGCCUCCUGGUGUUCAAGCCUUCAUGUGAGCCCCUCCUCUUGAUGGCGGGCUAGUGACUCACUUCUAAAAGAUGAUGGCAAACAUGGAGGAUGUCACUUCUGAAACUAGGUUACAGAGAGAAUGUGGCUUCUGUGUUAUGUGCCCUCUCUUUGCUCAGCUUGCUUGCACUGCUGGAAGCCAGAUACCAUGUUGCAAGCUGCCCAGUGAGAGGCCUAGGCCACCUAGCAAGGUACUGAGGGGGCUUCUGGUUGCCAGGCAACUAAGGCCCUCAGCCUCUAGGCCUGGGAGGACCUGGAUGCUGCCAGCAACCAUGUGUGUGAACUUUGAGGCCCAUCCUCCCUCCGUUGAGCCUUCAGAUGAGACCCUGGCCAGUGACUUGACUACAGCCUGUGAGAUGCCUGGAGGCAGAGACACUGAGCUCAACUGUGCUGAGAGACCUGACUCACAGAGAUGGAGAUAAUACAUGCUUGGUGUUUUAACCACUAAGUUUUGGGGGUAAUUUGUUUUACAGUCAUAGAUCAUGAAGACACAGAUGAGGAGUUCCCGUCAUGGUGCAGUGGUUAACGAAUCCGACUAGGAACCAUGAGGUUGCGGGUUCGGUCCCUGUCCUUGCUCAGUGGGUUAAGGAUCCGGCGUUGCCGUGAGCUGUGGUGUAGGUUGCAGACGCAGCUCGGAUCCAGUGUUGCUGUGGCUCUGGCGUAGGCUGGUGGCUACAGCUCUGAUUCGACCCCUAGCCUGGGAACCUCCAUAUGCCGCGGGAGCGGCCCAAGAAA
This 2336-nucleotide long non-coding RNA is filed under the name Sus scrofa (pig). RNAcentral describes it as "lncRNA (ENSSSCG00045026060.1)". The record is from RNAcentral. Lineage: Eukaryota; Metazoa; Chordata; Mammalia; Artiodactyla; Suidae.